Molecule: non-coding RNA, 247 nt
Organism: Caenorhabditis elegans
Lineage: Eukaryota; Metazoa; Nematoda; Chromadorea; Rhabditida; Rhabditidae
Source: Ensembl
UUCCUAUUGAUUCUUCAAUUCACUCCGAUUAAGUUUUACUAUUUGAUGAAAGUUCAACUUCAUCGUCAUUUGAAUUAUGUGCUCUCUUUAUUUCUGGUAUUAUUGUUUCUGAUUUAUGUAUUCUCAAGAACAGACUUACAUUUAAACAGUGUCUAAUGUUGUUUUGUGUGAAUUGCAAUGAGAGUUUAUAAUUUUUGUGACUAAUUUUCAUUUUGACCUUUGAAGAAAUAAACGAUUUUUUUGUUGU